Molecule: ribosomal RNA, 448 nt
Filed under: Armandia bilobata
Lineage: Eukaryota; Metazoa; Annelida; Polychaeta; Opheliidae
Description: partial 16S ribosomal RNA
Rfam family: Archaeal large subunit ribosomal RNA
Source: RNAcentral
UAUUUAAGGUACAUCCUGCCAUAUGAUGAAAGUAAAUGGCCGCAGUAUCUUGACUGUGCAAAGGUAGACUGAUAAAUUGCCCUUUAAUAGGGGGAUUCACUAAUGGAUAAACGAGAUGCAGGCUGUCUCAAUUUAGUUAAGCGAAUUUAACAAGAAGGUGAAGAGGCCUUCAUUAAUUUGCGGGACGCGUAGACCCUACAGCGCUUUACUUUUUUAAGUUUGGUUGGGGCGGCAUUGGAAAAUCUAAAUCUUCCAAAAAUUUUAAGACUACCAAGUAAUAGAUCCGGGGCUUUCGAGAGUUGGCAUUAGCAACCUUAGGGAUAACAGACUCCUCCCUCUAGAGAGCUCAAAUUGAUAGAGGGGCUAGGCACCUCGAUGUUGGCUCGGAUGAAGCAGUGUGGUGCAGAAGCUACACUAUGCGGGUUUGUCCAACCUUUAAUUAUCCUUG